CAGGGAUGAAGGAGGAGGGAGAGGGGGAAUUCCCUGGGUCGUGCUACCUGACACAACACCGAGGGCUGAAACAGCAACUCCUGCACUCCUGGACCCGAGCGCGGGCUCGCAGCCCGAAGCUCCUGGAGUCGGGUGAUCACUCGCGGCUUCCUCCACUUGCUCUCGGAACCUUAUUGCUUUGGUGUGGUGGCAAAGUAAGACCUGAGCUCACACCAGCUCAAAGAUCAGUCGGCCAAGGACAACCCCGCUGCACAAAAUAUUGUCAUUUUCCAGCCCAUCCAGCACCUGUGUCUUGAUUUUGGGAGGGUGGUGCUGCUCACACGUGCCAAGGAGCAUUUCUCCCACCUGCACAUGGCUGGGGAUGGAGCUCCUUGCACUUUUCCCGCUGUCACCACAUGGUGAUUUCCACCAAAACUGUGCCCAGUGUCACCUCCAGAGACUGUCACAGGAGCUGCCUGUAUUUUUAAUGAUGGCAUGUGUAGCCUUAUCUCCAUGCAAGGCCACAACACACAUUCUUGGGAUGAAAUAUGGAUAAGAGAAAUGAUCCCACUCCAGCCCGACAAAUCCUCACCGCAUGCUGUAGGGGGGGAAAGCACCUUAAAUUAAAAAAAGCAGUAUCUGU
Pipra filicauda (Wire-tailed manakin) is the source of this 622-nucleotide long non-coding RNA. RefSeq lists it as uncharacterized. The transcript is spliced from 2 exons. The record is from RefSeq and is a predicted model, not a curated record. Lineage: Eukaryota; Metazoa; Chordata; Aves; Passeriformes; Pipridae.